GACCCUAUCGUCUAGCCUGGUCAGGACAAGAGCUUUUCAAGCUCUCGACACGGGUUCGAAUCCCGUUAGGGUCA
RNAcentral lists this transfer RNA (74 nucleotides) under Candidatus Omnitrophota bacterium. RNAcentral describes it as "tRNA-Glu". It matches the Rfam family "tRNA". From Rfam's summary of the family: Transfer RNA (tRNA) molecules are approximately 80 nucleotides in length. Lineage: Bacteria; Pseudomonadati; Candidatus Omnitrophota. The record is from RNAcentral.